RNAcentral lists this ribosomal RNA (805 nucleotides) under uncultured bacterium. Its description in RNAcentral is "bacterial SSU rRNA". It matches the Rfam family "Bacterial small subunit ribosomal RNA", at positions 8 to 794 of the family's 1533-position model. The record is from RNAcentral.
AGAGUUUGAUCAUGGCUCAGGACGAACGCUGGCGGCGUGCCUAAUACAUGCAAGUCGAGCGGACUAAUGGGAGCUUGCUCCCGUUAGUUAGCGGCGGACGGGUGAGUAACACGUGGGCAACCUACCUGUAAGACUGGGAUAACUUCGGGAAACCGGAGCUAAUACCGGAUGACAUAAAGGAACUCCUGUUCCUUUAUUGAAAGAUGGCUUUUAGCUAUCACUUAUAGAUGGGCCCGCGGCGCAUUAGCUAGUUGGUGAGGUAAUGGCUCACCAAGGCAACGAUGCGUAGCCGACCUGAGAGGGUGAUCGGCCACACUGGGACUGAGACACGGCCCAGACUCCUACGGGAGGCAGCAGUAGGGAAUCUUCCGCAAUGGACGAAAGUCUGACGGAGCAACGCCGCGUGAGCGAUGAAGGCCUUCGGGUCGUAAAGCUCUGUUGUUAGGGAAGAACAAGUGCUAGUUGAAUAAGCUGGCACCUUGACGGUACCUAACCAGAAAGCCACGGCUAACUACGUGCCAGCAGCCGCGGUAAUACGUAGGUGGCAAGCAUUGUCCGGAAUUAUUGGGCGUAAAGCGCGCGCAGGCGGUUUCUUAAGUCUGAUGUGAAAGCCCCCGGCUCAACCGGGGAGGGUCAUUGGAAACUAGGAAACUUGAGUGCAGAAGAGGAGAGCGGAAUUCCACGUGUAGCGGUGAAAUGCGUAGAGAUGUGGAGGAACACCAGUGGCGAAGGCGGCUCUCUGGUCUGUAACUGACGCUGAGGCGCGAAAGCGUGGGGAGCGAACAGGAUUAGAUACCCUGGUAGU